This 495-nucleotide ribosomal RNA is filed under the name Shigella sp. FC1967. RNAcentral's name for it is "bacterial SSU rRNA". It matches the Rfam family "Bacterial small subunit ribosomal RNA", at positions 520 to 1013 of the family's 1533-position model. Lineage: Bacteria; Pseudomonadati; Pseudomonadota; Gammaproteobacteria; Enterobacterales; Enterobacteriaceae. The record is from RNAcentral.
GUAAUACGGAGGGUGCAAGCGUUAAUCGGAAUUACUGGGCGUAAAGCGCACGCAGGCGGUCAAUUAAGUCAGAUGUGAAAGCCCCGAGCUUAACUUGGGAAUUGCAUCUGAAACUGGUUGGCUAGAGUCUUGUAGAGGGGGGGUAGAAUUCCACGUGUAGCGGUGAAAAUGCGUAGAGAUGUGGAGGAAUACCGGUGGCGAAGGCGGCCCCCUGGACAAAGACUGACGCUCAGGUGCGAAAGCGUGGGGAGCAAACAGGAUUAGAUACCCUGGUAGUCCACGCUGUAAACGAUGUCGAUUUAGAGGUUGUGGUCUUGAACCGUGGCUUCUGGAGCUAACGCGUUAAAUCGACGCCUGGGGAGUACGGCCGCAAGGUUAAAACUCAAAUGAAUUGACGGGGGCCCGCACAAGCGGUGGAGCAUGUGGUUUAAUUCGAUGCAACGCGAAGAACCUUACCUACUCUUGACAUCCAGCGAAUCCUUUAGAGAUAGAGGA